Molecule: long non-coding RNA, 2383 nt
Filed under: Lynx pardinus (Iberian lynx)
Lineage: Eukaryota; Metazoa; Chordata; Mammalia; Carnivora; Felidae
Source: RNAcentral
GAUUCAUCCCCGGCCAGGCGAGUGGAAAAGUACCAGCCGAGCGAGAGGGGCGGGGGCGCGCCAAGGGGCGGAAAAGUACAGACAGCGAAGCCGCGAAGAACAAAGAUGGUCCCACCGCGGCGAUGUGCCCGCAGAGGCCCGUGCCCUCCGGACCCUCUCCAACGGAUUUUGGUACUGCACCCUCUCCAUUAUCCCAAGUGUGAGGAGUGGGGUGCAAGGGGGCUGUUUUGCUUUUCCUCCAGCGUCUCUGGUCGUGCACAGGCACGCCGGGCAUUGGUUAGGUGUGCGCGCACCCCAGGCGCACAGCUCCCCGUUUCUAGGAUUUGCAACAGCAGUGCGCGUAAUCCGUCCUUUCGUGCCCACGGUCCCCACACGGGGAAUUGCCUCUGCGGCACAUAGCGGACUCGAAGAGGGCAUAAAGGGCUGACAGGAGUCCUCUCUCGAGAAGGGGAGAACACCCGUUCCCCAGCAAGCAGAGGCGGCGAGGGUUUGUUUACACGCGCACGCCCGUGCCCUCGAGCACACUCGUCUACAGGCAUUUGGCUCGCGAGCGCUUCGCCCGGCUGGCCCCUCCUAUGCCCGGAAAGGAAACUGAUGCAAUAUCGAUCGCCGAUUAUCAAAUGUUCCUGGCCCGUCUUCCCCAACCGUGGCCUCUGUAUACCAGAAGCCCGAACCCACCUCCGCUGCGCCCAAAUUCCAGGACCCCUCGAUUUUAUUUUUUUAUUAAUGCAAAUCAGUCACAAGACUUGCCGCAGCGGGGCCGCGGGCCGGGCUGGUUCCCCUCCCCCUAACGGGAGGAUGCGGCUCCCCUCCCGGCGGGCACGCGGCCCCCGCGCCGCGCCCCUCCCCCGUCCGGAGGAGGGCGGCGACCCCCUUACGGGCCGGGGUCGAAGAUGGGCCCCGCCGACCACAAACGCCAGUCCUGGGAGGAAACGACCCCCGCAGCUGCCUUCCAGCCGCGGCCCCUCCCGGACGCCCCUCCCCCACUCCCGCUUGGGCCCGCGCCCUUUGCACAGACGCCCCCGCGCGCGUUACCUCGGUGGUCUCGGCUCUCGUAUCCCGGAGACGUCACGAAAACGCCUUCAGUGGGGUUUUCUCAGCUAAACAAAAAUCGCAAAACAAAAACAAAACCAAAAAAAAAAACCCCAACAAUAGGCAGGAAAAAUAAUUUUAGCAAAAAAAAGGAAAUGGCAAAUUGCCGCCCCAAUCGUCUGGCGUCCGCCGUCUCAAGGGAAAGGCUCGAGUGUACGGGAACGCGUGGUUCGGCUGCCAGCGGUGCUGUGGGUAAAGUGCUCCAGGACGGCGGCGUCGCACGACUCUGAAGCUGCCCGCCGAGCAGCGGGUUAUAGCGGCCNCGGCCGCCCAGGAGGACGCGUUAGGGGGCGGGGCCGCAGCCGCCGGGGUGCUGUCUCUUUGUAUAUCAACACCACCUGGGCUCCGCCCCCGGCCCGCCCGGGCCCGCAGGCCCCGCCCCGUCCCACCCCUCUACCCGCGGCCCAGUCGGGGCCGUAGCUCCGCCCGCUGGCGCCCCCCGCCCUCCGGAGAGCCAAACCCCACUCUCUCCGGUCUCCUAGUCAGCCCGGAAAGACCCCCCAUGCUCAUCUUGGCCUGUUCAUGUCAACCUCGAUAUGUGCCCAACACAUGCGGUUGUCUUUAAGGAGCCUUCUGCUUCAUUUCCCUUCCGUCCGAGUUACCAGCAGUCUUUGCUUUCUCCUCCAGGCUUUUUGGGGACACAUCCCGCCCACCCAACUCUCUCCUGCCUGUUAUUUUGUGAUUUACUUGGGGUUUUUCUCUCGCAAACUUGGACUAACGCAGCAACGUUGUCUCCAUGGUCGAUUUCUGUUCUUGUUCUUUCUUCUCCGUCUAGACCUGCUUUCACUCUUCAAAACUAGCCUGGUGGGGCCAGCUCCAUGUCGGUCUAUCCUUUUUGUAUCAACGUGGAAAACCCUAGUAGGGGAAAAACUACAUGCCGACCAGCAAGCCAGAGACCCUUUGAAAGGGGAUCCCAGAUGGGCCUCCGGGGUGGGGGAACCGCUCUUCUGAGAAGGUGUAGGAGUUCCCAGUUUUCCUUUCGCAGACACAUUUCACUCAUUCCACCACCCCCAGGCCCAAUUUGAGAGCACUUCUCACCUCGCCUUUCUUCCCUCGUAUUUACAAAGGCGCUGCCUCCACUGGAAUGCUAGUCUGGAAGACUUUCUCCCGACUGAGCCCGUCCUUCCCUUCCAGUGGUGAUGUGGUCUUGCUGAGCCAGGCAACUAGGGGGCCCCUUCGCUGCGGAAUACUCUGUGCUGCCGAAAGGCAAGAGUCCAUCCCUUGCUGGAAACAAAGGCCCCUUAGGAGAAAUGCUUGCUGAAUGAAUGAAUAAACAAACGAGUUUGACCUA